RNAcentral lists this ribosomal RNA (274 nucleotides) under uncultured bacterium. RNAcentral's name for it is "partial 16S ribosomal RNA". It matches the Rfam family "Bacterial small subunit ribosomal RNA", at positions 523 to 796 of the family's 1533-position model. The record is from RNAcentral.
AUACGGAGGGGACAAGCGUUGUUCGGAAUUACGGGGCGUAAAGAGCUCGUAGGCGGCUAGGUAAGUCGAAUGUGAAAUCCCCGGGCUUAACCCGGGAACUGCAUCCGAAACUGCCCAGCUAGAGUCCCGGAGAGGAAGGCAGAAUUCCCAGUGUAGAGGUGAAAUUCGUAGAUAUCGGGAGGAACACCAGCGGCGAAGGCGGCCUUCUGGACGAUGACUGACGCUGAGGUGCGAAAGCGUGGGGAGCAAACAGGAUUAGAAACCCCAGUAGUCC